Mytilus californianus (California mussel) is the source of this 2696-nucleotide long non-coding RNA. RefSeq lists it as uncharacterized. Lineage: Eukaryota; Metazoa; Mollusca; Bivalvia; Mytilida; Mytilidae. The transcript has 3 exons. The record is from RefSeq and is a predicted model, not a curated record.
AAAUUAGAUUUUUGUUCAUGAAAUUUUUUUCAAAUAUAAUAAUCUGAAAAAUGCAAGUAGAAAUUUGGACAAAAUAUGCAUUUAAAUGUCUUACGUCUUUAAAGUUGUAGAACUUCCGCGAUACACUAAUAAUCGAGGAUUAUGCUGUGGCCAGUGGGGGAUUAUGUCAUAUCCAUAUAGGCGCGUGUUUUGUUAUCACAACCAGUAAACGAGGUCAUUCUGUUGCGUACUUUGGUCAAAGAAAGAGAAAGAUGGAGUCCCCUAGAAAUGAAAAUAAGCUGAAUGGAAUUUCGUUUUCAAGGAAGAAGAGUCCGAAGCUUACUUAUGCCGGAGAGUUCUGAUGAAUCACCAAAGAAAAGAAAAACUCAAAGUUCUAAUAGUGGCCUGGGUGCAGUGUAUUCGAAUUAUCAACAGUGCUCCUCAAAUAAAGAAAAUAAAAGAAAAAGAUUUUACUUUCUAUGAGUACCCACAGCAUCUUCAAGCAGAACAAUGGAUAUUGAUCAGACCAGACAGUCUGGAGAAUUUACCAUGGAUAGAAGUAACAAAAGUGACAGCAACACAUUCGAUUGGUUUAAUGGAUAUUUUGGACAGGAGUAGCAGACUGGUACAUUGAUUCCAAAAUCUUGAACAAACAACAACUGUACACAUUCUUGUCGCUUUUAAGUGGGAUAAUGUUAAUCUUUACAAAAUGCCAGCACAAUUGAAAUUAAUAUGGGAUAGUUGAAAGAAGAAAUUUCAAAAUGAUACAUAUCACAAUGUUGAAUUUAGACAAUCUCUAUUUUUGUGAAACAGUUUUUUUUUAACUUUAAAUACUGUGAUGAUCUACAAAACAUUAUUAAAAGAUGAACAUGUAAGUCUCAAGUGCGAUCCAGUUUUUAACCGCUUUUCGCUUGAAAAAAAAUCAAGCUUUUUUAAAUUUAUGAAGUGACAACAAUUGUUUUUACUGGAUUUACAUUGAAUAAAUAAUAUUAUCCAGACAUUAAAUAAAAAUGUUGAAAUUGAUUUCACUUCAUUUUAUUUUCAUUUUUUCGCAAUGUUUUUAUCAAUUUUUUUAAACCUUUCUAAGUGAGAAAGUCAGACUUCUUGAUGCUUCUAGUUGUUACACACUACAUUUAAAACAUUGUCACAUUUCAUAUGGUAUAUUCUGGCUUUCAUUGUAUUUUGUGUUUUUUGUAUUUUGGUGAAAUUGCAAAUUGUGUUCUUACCAAUGAAACUUAACAGUUAAUUGUGCUUGAUUUUUUUUUCUUAAACAAUGAAAAACCCUUUUAAUUAAAAAUUAAUAUGUAAUAAGGUGAAGUUCAUCCAAAGGUUGCUUUUAUUCAUUUUAAUAAAAUUAUAAAUAAUUAAAAAAAAAUUUGGAAAGUUUGGAACUAUUUGAUUUGAUUACCAUUGAGACAGCUUUCCACGAAAGUUCAAAUGAUGUAACCGUAGGCAUACGACCUUCAACGACAUGAGAAAAAUCCAUACUGUAUGGUCAUCUAUAAAAGACCCCGACAUUAAACACCAAUUCAACUGAGAAGAAUAACGGUCUAAUUUAUUACAAUUUACGAAAAAAAAUAUGACAGACAUGAACCAACAACAACCACUGAACAACGGGCUCCUGACUUGGGACAGUCACAUAACGGAGGUGGCAGGGUGAAACAUGUUUGUGAUCGCUCAACCCUCUCCUAGCUGGGACAGUGUGUGUAACAGCACACCAUAAGAAUAAGCAUUUAUUUAGUACAGUAUCAUUUUAAAACAACAGCUUUCAAAAAUUCACUUAAUUUUGAUGGCAAGUAUUAGUAACCAAUCAAUAUAUACAGAGAUAUGAAUCACCUGUGUGCAAUUUUGAUAGAUAUAUAUUAUGCAAAUGUUGAAAUUUAAAUUACAAUACUUAAAUGACUACUUACCCAUUUUUCAUCAGUAUUCUGAUAUAUUAAAGUAUAGAAAUUGACCCUAUGUAAAAGUUUCAAAGUCAACGAAUCAUGACUGGGGGAGGGAAAAUAAUCAUUAUGGAGAUGAGAUGUGCAAAAUCUAGUACAACUGCACAUCUAAUGUAAUAACCGUUAAUGUUCAGCCUUAAACUGACCAAAUCACAAACAUAAACCUGUAAACUAACUAUAUGCAUUUUCGAAAUCAAUAGACAGUGAUUGGGGAGGGAUAAUCGCCAUGGAAAUAAUUUCCAGUGUCUUUUUAUAAAUGGUUACUAGUGACAUCCCUAAAUUAUUCCCCUUCUGACUGAACUAAACAGCAAUACACAUUGCUAUGAGUUGAUGCUCUAGUGAAUAUAAAUGUGUAAACCUAAUUUUGUGACUGAAUUCAGUCAUUAUAUUUUUUUUACUGCUGCAGAAUUGGUCUUUUCAACAAAUAUUUCCUGAAUUUGUAUUGACUGAAUUCAGUCAUCUGUAUUAUAGAUGUGUAUACUAUGUAAUCACACUUGGUGUAAUUUAAGUCUUAGAAAACACUCUAAUUUAGUACAAUUUCUUGUAGCUUCUAUCAAAUGCUGUGUGACUGAAUUCAGUCAACAUUUUGUGAAAAUAAUGAACAGGAUAAAGAGUUAAUUUCAUUUAGCUGUUAUCCUGUUAUAUGUUGCUUGUAUUAAUCUAUAAUCCGAAUUCUGUUUCAUCUGAAUUAACAGUAAUAGGUUUUAGUUAAGAAGCAACAAGUACAAAUGUAUUUGAUAGAUAUUUUACGAAUAAAAUGGUAAUGUUACUUUC